AUGAGUAGGGAGGGAACUAGCGUGCUUGCACGUGGGCUUGGUAGGUGGCAGUUACCCUGGCCGUCUCGGAAGUUAUGCCUCUCUGUUCUUGAUGUGCAGCCAAAUGCUGUUUAUUGUAAGGAUGUCUUAGACAUUGGACGGUUCUCCGUGGUGAAGGGCGUCAAUCUGGACACCACAGAUGACAACUUCUACGCUCAGUUUGCAACGGGGUGUGUCUCCAUCCCCUGGCAGAAAGAGAUGAUCGAGUCUGGAUGCUUCAAGGAAAUCAACGACAGUGAAAAUAAGUGUCUGGAGGAGACACUGUGUCCCCCGGCAGCCAGGCCCAAGAGGAACCUCUUCUACAGGUUCUUUGGAAGAAUGGUAAGAAAAUGUUUUUUAAAAAAUAAAUAUGUCAAAAAUGUUUGCUGAAGUAAAAUCAUGCUUUCACCUUUUUCAGGCCUCACAAGUGGUCCUCUUGAGAGCUGGGCCUGUCUUCCUGGGGAGCCCACAGGUGGUACUGUGCAGAUCCACAGGAAGGAGGGGGGUGAUUGGCCAGGGACAGGACUCCAGAGCCAGCAUGGUAUCAGCCUCCCAUGGGGCCACCUAAGCAUGUAGUGCAGUGCUUAGGGUUUCUAAGCUCUGGUUGCUGUGGCUACUGUUCUGUCCCAUCCUGCUUGCACUGGGAGAGCAGGUCCCCUCCUUAUGGUGGUGUCACUUGGAGAAGUCAUGUGAGGGGUGCUGGACUGUAUCCCCAAUCCCUUUUAUUAAUUUUGAGACAGCAUCUCACUUAGUUGCCGAGAUUGGCCUGAAAUGUGGAAUCCUCCAGCCUUGGCCUCCGGUCUGCAUGCUGGGAUUUCAGGCAUGUAUCUUGAUACCCGACUCUGAGGGCACUAAAUUUAGAAAAAGUUUUCUCCUCAUAAAACUUUUCUCCUCAGAUACGUGGAUUAUCCUGCUUUGCAUCUGCUCGUCCCUUCCUGAGGGGCUUAUGCAAAGGUUAUUCACUAGCAUUCCAAUCUGUCAUUUUUCAGGAUUCAACACAGACCCCAAGUGGUAAGCCAUCUCCCAAAGUGGUGGCUGCGUAACCACAUUUCCUCUGAGAACUCGGGCUUGGUCAUGGACUGGCCCAGUGGGCCGCUCCACCUCCCGGAGUGUUGUAAGUCCAGCUUGGACACCCUCCCUGGGUGCUCCCACCAGGAUAAUCUGGAAGGAGCUGCUCCUCCGCCCCACACUCUGGGGAGCAGGGCCUGUGAGCCCAUCCCUUGGUCCACAGUGGUGGCUACAGUGCAGGAAGCCUCUUCUGCUCUUGGCUCUUGAGGGUGACAAGGAGAGAAUAGAGAAGGCCCUUUUUUGCCCUACAGUUAGCCCCUGGGGGUAGUUACCACACCGCAGGCUGUGGUCCUAGGCCUCUGGGUUCCCCUGGGCCCUCGGAGCAAUGGGGCCGUCCUCAUGCAUAUUCAGAUCAUCGGCACUCUGCGUGCAGUUUCCAGUAGGAGUGCUGUGGAAUUACUUGUUACACUGUGUUUUUCAAUUCGUGUUUUUGUGGUUGUAUUGUUUUUAUUCUACCUUUAUAAUAUUAUUUUGCUUCAGUAAUCAAAUAAUUAUUGGGUUGGUUGAAUCUGUGCUUGCAUGCGGAAGCUGCAGUUGAUUCAGAGAGCUGACUGUGUCCUUGAGGGAAGUCAAGGCAGCUCACACUGGGACAUGCUGAGGUGCAGGGUCCUGUGUGUUGCAGGGCUGCCUGAGAACCAACCGCUGAGAGGAGACCCUGUAGGAUGGUGACCGUCACCCUGCAGACCAUGGAGGCCGCCCUGAUGCUGAGGCAGAGUCACAACUGGUAUCCCAUGCUCCCGCUGGUUUAAUAAAUGCAAUCUGUGACAGUGGAA
This 1859-nucleotide long non-coding RNA is filed under the name Cavia porcellus (domestic guinea pig). RNAcentral describes it as "lncRNA (ENSCPOG00000030482.1)". The record is from RNAcentral. Lineage: Eukaryota; Metazoa; Chordata; Mammalia; Rodentia; Caviidae.